UUGUGGUUAAAAAGCUCGUAGUUGGAUCUCGGCGGUCUGAGGGCGGUUCGCUUGAUUGAGUGCUACUGCUCUAUAGGCCGUGGUUUUGCCAGAGGUCUCGGGGUGCUCUUACCGAGUGUCCUGCGAUGCUGGCAGGUUUACUUUGAAAAAAUUAGGGUGCUCAAAGCAGGCUUUUACGCCUGAAUAUUCGUGCAUGGAAUAAUAGAAUAGGAAGUCGUUUCUAUUUUGUUGGUUUUCGGAAAUCGACUUAAUGAUUAAUAGGGACAGUCGGGGGCAUUUGUAUUCAAACGACAGAGGUGAAAUUCUUGGACCGUUUGAAGACAAACUACUGCGAAAGCAUUUGCCAAGAAUGUUUUCAUUAAUCAAGAACGAAAGUUAGAGGUUCGAAGGCGAUUAGAUACCGCCCUAGUUCUAACCAUAAACGAUGCCAGCUAGCGAUCUGCCGACGUUUUCUUUGUAGACUCGGCAGGAAGCUUCCGGGAAACCAAAGCAUUUGGGUUCCAGGGGAAGUAUGGUUGCAAAGCUGAAACUUAAAGGAAUUGACGGAAGGGCACCACCAGGAGUGGAGCCUGUGGCUUAAUUUGACUCAACACGGGAAAUCUCACCAGGCCCGGACACUGGAAGGAUUGACAGAUUGAUAGCUCUUUCUUGAUUCGGUGGGUGGUGGUGCAUGGGC
Molecule: ribosomal RNA, 676 nt
Filed under: uncultured marine eukaryote
Lineage: Eukaryota
Description: SSU rRNA
Rfam family: Eukaryotic small subunit ribosomal RNA
Source: RNAcentral